Molecule: non-coding RNA, 87 nt
Filed under: Rhodomonas abbreviata
Lineage: Eukaryota; Cryptophyceae; Pyrenomonadales; Pyrenomonadaceae
Source: RNAcentral
CUGAAGACGGAGGGAACUUGCCGAGGGUCGAAGACCAAGGAGCAACCGGAAGCUCCGGCAGCGAUCGCGCAGCAUGGAAACGCAUCC